This 586-nucleotide ribosomal RNA is filed under the name uncultured bacterium. RNAcentral's name for it is "partial 16S ribosomal RNA". It matches the Rfam family "Bacterial small subunit ribosomal RNA", at positions 355 to 1375 of the family's 1533-position model. The record is from RNAcentral.
UGGGGAAUUUUGGACAAUGGGCGAAAGCCUGAUCCAGCAAUGCCGCGUGUGUGAAGAAGGCCUUCGGGUUGUAAAGCACUUUUGUCCGGAAAGAAAUCCUUGGCUCUAAUACAGUCGGGGGAUGACGGUACCGGAAGAAUAAGCACCGGCUAACUACGUGCCAGCAGCCGCGGUAAUACGUAGGGUGCAAGCGUUAAUCGGAAUUACUGGGCGUAAAGCGUGCGCAGGCGGUUUGCUAAGACCGAUGUGAAAUCCCCGGGCUCAACCUGGGAACUGCAUUGGUGACUGGCAGGCUAGAGUAUGGCAGAGGGGGGUAGAAUUCCACGUGUAGCAGUGAAAUGCGUAGAGAUGUGGAGGAAUACCGAUGGCGAAGGCAGCCCCCUGGGCCAAUACUGACGCUCAUGUACGAAAGCGUGGGGAGCAAACAGGAUUAGAUACCCUGGUAGUCCACGCCCUAAACGAUGUCAACUAGUUGUUGGGGAUUCAUUUUCCUUAGUAACGUAGCUAACGCGUGAAGUUGACCGCCUGGGGAGUACGGUCGCAAGAUUAAAACUCAAAGGAAUUGACGGGGUCAUAGCUGUUUCCU